UUGUCCGGGAAUGUGGAUGCAGUAGUCAUGCAGUGGAUGCAGUGUCCCACAAGGUGGAUGCAGUAUAUUGUGACGGAGGAUGCAGGGCCCAUGAAGGAGGAUGCAGUGAUCCUGCAGUGGUUACAGUGCACCCUGCUGUGUCGAUGAAUGUGGAUGCUGUGAACAUGCAGUGGAUGCAGUGAUCCUGCAGUGAUUGCAGUGCACCUGCAUUUCCACAUCACCUGGAAGCAGUGUUCCUGCAGGGGUUGCAGUGCCACCUUCUCUGUCCCUGAAGGUGAAUGCAGUGCCCAUGCAGUGGAUACAGUGUACCUAAAGUUUUAUGCAGUAUGUUGUGACGGAGGAUGCAGUGACCAUGAAGGUUGAUGCAGUGUCCCUACUCUGGAUGCAGUGCCCAUGGCAUUUUCCUGGAUUUUGCAUGCAGUGGUCAAGCAGUGUAUGCAGUGUCUCACACAGUGGAUGCAGUAUGUUUUGUUGGAGGCUGUAGUGCCCAUGAAGGUGGAAGCGGUGAACCUGCAGUGGGUGCAGUGUCCACAACAGUUUCCUUGAAUGUAUAUGCAGUGCCCACGAAGGUGGAUGCAGUGAGCCUGCAUUGAUUGCAGUGCACCUGCAGUGUCAAUUUAUCUGGAUGCAGUGUCCCUAAUGUGGAUUCAGUGCUCAUGCAGUGAUGAUGUAUGUUGUGAUGGAGGAUGCAGUGCCAGUGAAGGCAGAUGCAGUGAUCCAGCAGUGAUUGCAGUGCAUCUGCAGAGCUUCUUCAGGUGGAUCCAGUGUCCCUGCAGUGGUUGCCAUGCCUGUUGCACUGUCCCUGAAUGUGGCUGCAGUGCCCAUGCAAUGGCUGCAGUGUCACUGAAGGUAUAUGAAGUAUGUUGUGUUGGAGGAAGCAGUGUCCAUGAAGGUGGAU
Molecule: long non-coding RNA, 898 nt
Filed under: Equus caballus (horse)
Lineage: Eukaryota; Metazoa; Chordata; Mammalia; Perissodactyla; Equidae
Description: lncRNA (ENSECAG00000058041.1)
Source: RNAcentral